AACACUCCCGGAUUCGGCCAUAAU
RNAcentral lists this non-coding RNA (24 nucleotides) under Gossypium hirsutum (cotton). Lineage: Eukaryota; Viridiplantae; Streptophyta; Magnoliopsida; Malvales; Malvaceae. The record is from RNAcentral.